AGAGUUUGAUCAUGGCUCAGAUUGAACGCUGGCGGCAGGCUUAACACAUGCAAGUCGAGCGGAGAUGAGGUGCUUGCACCUUAUCUUAGCGGCGGACGGGUGAGUAAUGCUUAGGAAUCUGCCUAUUAGUGGGGGACAACAUUCCGAAAGGAAUGCUAAUACCGCAUACGUCCUACGGGAGAAAGCAGGGGAUCUUCGGACCUUGCGCUAAUAGAUGAGCCUAAGUCGGAUUAGCUAGUUGGUGGGGUAAAGGCCUACCAAGGCGACGAUCUGUAGCGGGUCUGAGAGGAUGAUCCGCCACACUGGGACUGAGACACGGCCCAGACUCCUACGGGAGGCAGCAGUGGGGAAUAUUGGACAAUGGGGGGAACCCUGAUCCAGCCAUGGCCGCGUGUGUGAAGAAGGCCUUAUGGUUGUAAAGCACUUUAAGCGAGGAGGAGGCUACUGAGACUAAUACUCUUGGAUAGUGGACGUUACUCGCAGAAUAAGCACCGGCUAACUCUGUGCCAGCAGCCGCGGUAAUACAGAGGGUGCGAGCGUUAAUCGGAUUUACUGGGCGUAAAGCGUGCGUAGGCGGCUUUUUAAGUCGGAUGUGAAAUCCCCGAGCUUAACUUGGGAAUUGCAUUCGAUACUGGGAAGCUAGAGUAUGGGAGAGGAUGGUAGAAUUCCAGGUGUAGCGGUGAAAUGCGUAGAGAUCUGGAGGAAUACCGAUGGCGAAGGCAGCCAUCUGGCCUAAUACUGACGCUGAGGUACGAAAGCAUGGGGA
This 766-nucleotide ribosomal RNA is filed under the name uncultured bacterium. RNAcentral's name for it is "bacterial SSU rRNA". It matches the Rfam family "Bacterial small subunit ribosomal RNA", at positions 8 to 767 of the family's 1533-position model. The record is from RNAcentral.